RNAcentral lists this ribosomal RNA (496 nucleotides) under Streptococcus mutans. RNAcentral's name for it is "bacterial SSU rRNA". It matches the Rfam family "Bacterial small subunit ribosomal RNA", at positions 28 to 500 of the family's 1533-position model. The record is from RNAcentral. Lineage: Bacteria; Bacillati; Bacillota; Bacilli; Lactobacillales; Streptococcaceae.
GACGAACGCUGCGGCGUGCCUAAUACAUGCAAGUGGGACGCAAGGGAACACACUGUGCUUGCACACCGUGUUUUCUUGAGUCGCGAACGGGUGAGUAACGCGUAGGUAACCUGCCUAUUAGCGGGGGUUAACUAUUGGAAACGAUAGCUAAUACCGCAUAAUAUUAAUUAUUGCAUGAUAAUUGAUUGAAAGAUGCAAGCGCAUCACUAGUAGAUGGACCUGCGUUGUAUUAGCUAGUUGGUAAGGUAAGAGCUUACCAAGGCGACGAUACAUAGCCGACCUGAGAGGGUGAUCGGCCACACUGGGACUGAGACACGGCCCAGACUCCUACGGGAGGCAGCAGUAGGGAAUCUUCGGCAAUGGACGAAAGUCUGACCGAGCAACGCCGCGUGAGUGAAGAAGGUUUUCGGAUCGUAAAGCUCUGUUGUAAGUCAAGAACGUGUGUGAGAGUGGAAAGUUCACACAGUGACGGUAGCUUACCAGAAAGGACGGCUAA